CCUAGUUCUGCUGGAGUGGAGCUGAGAGAGGCUCUUGGGAGCUGCCUGCGUGGGCAGAGUUUGAAGGCUUAGGAUAUCUCCUGAAGGCCGGAUGGGCCAGUAGAGAUUAACGAGGCUUGAGCUGUCUUGAAAGAUGGCUGCCCUGAGAACUGGCUAGAAGAGGAGACCAAGGAGGCUGUGUGGGUCACCCUUGCAUUGGAGAUGAGGGGAGUCGUGAGAGAUCAGUGGGGAGCCCAUUGCCCUGUUGGGGAACUGCCUGGUGGAGCUUUCCCAGGGAUAUUUUAAAGAACCUACAUGGGAGAAAGCCUGCAUUUGGACAUCUUCCAGGCCAUUCAAUAGCCAAAGAGAACCACCAACAGCUUGAAUCAAAAAAAAGGCCCUCAAAAUAGGCUGAAUGAAAAGAGGUGUGAUCGAUGAAAACUGGCCGCUCCUUCUUUGCAACUCCUUCCAUUAGGUGGUGGAGUCUACGUUGCCCUCCCUUUGAUCCAGGCUGGCCACACAAAUUACUUUCACCAACAGAAUGCUGUAGAAGUGAUACUGCAUGACCUCUGAGCCCAGGCCUUAAGGGACUUUGCAGCUUCUGUUCUUGGCCUCUGGCUGCUCUGUGACUACCAUGGAAGGAGUUCCACACUAACCUCCUGUAGGGUAAGAGACACGUGGAGGCAGACUGAGCCUCCCAGCCAUCCCACUGAGGCUCCAGGCGUGCCAGUGAUGUACCUGGCUGAAGCCUGGCCCCCAGUCACCCACUGACGGCAGCUGCAAAGGUGCCCGUGAUGAGUGGGUCACUGACAAGAAAAUUCACCUGGAGGCCAAAUUGUCUCUAAUAACAAGUCCAAGACAUGCAUUCCAGCUGGAAUCCUCUUCCCGGAUGGUUGUGUGUUUUUAAUUGCAGUAGCCAUCUCCAAAAAUGCCAUCCAGUAACCAUGCCCUUGUGUGCUGCCCUUUCCAUGAAUCUGAGCUAGCCCCAUAAUUUGCUUUUGGCCAUUGGAUGGUGGUGGAAGUGAUGCUGUGUGACUUUUGAAGCUGAGUUACAAGCAGCCUUGGACAGUCUUUCUAGACCUCGUGGAGGGCUCACUCUGGGGGAAGCCAACCAGCAUGUAAGGAGCAUAACUGCCCUGAGACCGCCGUGUUGUUAGGAUGCCCAGCUAGCUAUGUGGAGAAGCUGCAUAGACUGAGGGAGAAGCCCAGCUAGUCCCCAGUUAUUCCUGCCACCCUAACUGAGGCACCAGACCCAUGAGCAAAGAAACCAUCAUGGAUGUCCUGUCCCAUCCAGCUUCUGUGACUGUAACUGUAUGAGGACCCCAAUGAAAACCACACAGCUGAGCCUAGUCAACACACAGAGCUAUGGAAGAUAAUAGUAAAUUGUUGCUUUAAGCCACUUGGUGUUUAUUCAUUUGUUUGGAGGGGGUCGGGGGCAGAGAGAUUAUGCAGCAGUCGAAAACCAGAACACUUGCAUAAAUCUCUAUGAAGCUGGACAUCUCUCUAGACCUGAAGAAGCUCCAGAAUGCCCUGAGCCUGGCAUGACUACAGGGCCACUCUAUUCCCCCGCUGGAAUGAUCCAGAGUGCCAGGAAAACAGGCCCUUCACACAAGGCCCUGAGUCUGUUUCCUGGUUCCUCCAUGACUAGCUGCAAAACUUUAGACAAGCCAGUGCUCUCUCAGCCUGAAUUUUCCCAUCUGCAAAGUUAGGCAAUAGAGUCAAUGGAUCAUCAAAGAUUCUUCUGCUUCUCUGCCUCAUGAAAUAUCACUCUGUGCCUAAGAGAUGAACACACCACCUAGAAUUCCCCCUCUAGGCGUGCCCUUUCUCGGUUCACUCACAUGAUAGGCAUAAAGGCACAAGGAGAAAGGAGCUCAUCUGCGCUGUUUCUGGGCUUCAGGAAUCUCCAGUCACCAAGUGAGGCUGUGGGAGGGCCAGACAUGCCAGCCAGUACCCAGGUUCCCAGCUCCAUGCCCCUCCUCAGCCUCCCUUGAGUUUUUCAGUGCUAAAGAGGGAGCACCUGCUCCAAGGCCCAGGUAGUUCUGGAAUCCCAGCUCUACCUGAGAAGAGGAAGUUCCUGCCUGCCAAAGAAGAGGGGCCUCCUGAGAGGAGUAGGCUUCUCGGUGGCUGCAAAGCGUCUGGUGACAAUAUUUGUGUCUAAAAAUACAGCAGCUGAGAACCAGCUAAUUGCAGCCUCUGGAGUCAUUCAUAGCUCAGCGUUUCACACCACACUUGCACCUCUUCCAGUGUUUCUCAGGAGCUGCCACGAAGGAGGCCACUUAUGGGUGGAAACCCAGCCAGGAGGGCCCAGGAUUGGGCCUAAGGUCCAGGGCAUCCUUUCACCCAAGAGCCCAGCCUGGUACCAGUAUGUAGCUGGCACCUAGGAAUAGAGCAAAGAGAGCAAGUUUCUCAAGUCAGCUGAAUCCCCCCCCCUCUACUCAGAUGCCCUUGGCCACUUGCCCAUCAGGAUCCAUUCAGACCUGUUGGGGCCCCUCAAAAGGCAAUGGCCCAGGUAUAACUUCAUGAGUGAGAUGUACUCGAAGAGAUGCACAAGGUCCAGGAAUUACCUUGCUGGAGACGGCCUUCUGUCCUGGACCUGCAGCCGGCAGGGUGCUAACCUUUGAGCUAGGACCUCUGCUGGACUGGGUCAUGGGCUAAGCAGGGGUUGGGACCCCAUAGCUCCCUGCUGUGGAUCCUCCUUUCUUUCAGAGCUUCUCAGAUGGCUCCUGUCUCGUCUACCAGGAUAAAGGGCAUGACUCAAGGUCACAGGAUGUGACGAUCUGAGAACUUCAGCCACAGCCUCUCUGGUGCCCCACACUGCCUGAACACACAGUGGACGAAGGUCAUGGCAAAAGUAGAAGGAACCCUGCGUGGGGAAUGUGUUUGCCUCAGGCUUUAGGAGAAGGAAUUUUUUUUUUCUUAAUCAGGGAGGCAUUUUAAAAGCACAAAGCCAAACUAACAUUUGUGUAGUAUUUUUCACUUGGCAAAAUGCUGUCACACACCUAGUGCUAGGUGGUUCCCAUGUUAAUUAGAUGAGGUGGUUAUUAUUAUGGCGUCCACUUUAUGGGUAAUUAAACUGAGGAUCAGAGGGGCUGAGUCAUUUCCCCAGGGUCACCAAAGUCAUGACCAGCCUUGAACUCAAGUCAGGAGCCCUCCUGCUGGGUCAGCAGGCCCAGCACCGCCUCCUGGCCCAGCUUAGAAGCUUGACUAGUCAGCCCCAUUGGGGUCCCAGAUUACAGAAAUGCCACACUCCGGCCACACAGCCCUGAAUCCAACCUAAAUCCAGCUCCAUCAACUUCCCCCUAUCUGCGAAAUUCAUUUGAAUCCCACUCUGAAUCUGGAUCCAUUAACCUUUGACCUAUGAGAAAUGAGUCAGAGCCUAAGAAAAAGCGGGCACCUAGAGAAAGCAGGGAGCAAAAAACAGAGUUUCUGAGAGCAGGGGCCCUCUGCUUGAUGGUCAGCUCCUCCCCUGGCACCUGGGCCAGGUCAGCCGAUGCUCUGUGUGGCCAAGAGAGGGCCAGACCUGGCCUCUGGCUGUGAGUGGCUGGGACGGCGAGCAAGACCCAGCUACAUAUCUGUCUUCAGCCCCUGCAACUGGGAGAGCAGCAACUCAGAGAUCAGCCGUUUCACCCUUCUUCCUAAUCACCGCGGGCGUGAUGGAACACCUUGACAUUCUUUAACGAAAGUUCAACUCCACUGCCACUCGGGGCGCUGCAUGAGGAAUGAGGUUUAUGUUGAAUCCCAGAAUCACAGAAAUUAGAGAUGAAAAAGGACGCUGAGGUCAGAGGCAGCCCAUCCCCAUGGGGCCAAGUGCACGUUCUUCUCGGUAAUAGACUUUCCCUUUAUUCCUCCAGUCCAGGUGGCUGCCUCCCUGAAGACCAUUCUCCACUGUUUCUUGGAGAAGACACUGUUGAUAGAAAUGAGAAGUCUGUGCUGAUCCCUGCAUGAUUUGCUUUGAAAUUUAUUAAUCAUCCAAAAGCUGGUGAAGAGGGGAAAAAAGAGAAUGUAAACUCAUCUGGUAGCCAGCGUGCCUGAGUGCGAAGAAGGAGGAGAGCCAGAACCCUCUGGGUUUCCAGCUUGCUAUAGCUCUAGGGCAGCAUGGGACAGUGUAGACUGAUCACUGACUUGCUAUGUAACCUGGCAAAAUUUUGACUUCCCUGAGCCUCAGUUUUCUCAUCUGCAAAAUGGGAGCUCAUGAUGCCUAUGCACAGGGCUGUUGGAAGAUUAGAGUUAACAAAGGUUUAGCACCUCAUAUUGUGCCUGACCCAUGUGAAUUACUCCGUAAAUGGUAACGAUUAUUACUAACAUUACUUUAUGACUCUCCCCUCUCCAGAUCCGUGUCCCUGUCUGUAACACAGGGCUAAGCAAGUUCUUCAGCUAUUGGGCUUCAUCCACUCAACAUUCCACUGGCACUUCCAGAGCUGCCACCACACUUCAGACUCCCAAGGCUAACAAUGACCAAGAAAGACAGAUUCUCUGACGUCAUGGAACUUACUGUCUUUAUGAAUUUCCAGGGAGAAGGGUGCUAAGAUGCUAACAUGGAUACUAACCAUCUGAUGCAAUAUUCUGCUGCACAGAUUGUGACCUAUGACUCACUGGGACAUGAUAGAGGUCACAGAAAUGCCAAUGACAUCCCAAAGACAGUGUGGGAGUGUGUUGUCUAGCUUCUUAGCAAACCCCACCCCCACGGUGGCAUGACCCCUGCACCAUCUUCUCCCACCCUGGGAUCUCCUUCCUACCCCUCUGCCCAUGUCAAUCUGGAAGAAGUAUGUGUGCAUCACAGGAGUCCAGGCUUUGAGCCUGGGAUCAGCACAGUUCCUGACUCUGACCCACACACCAUGAGCCAAAGCUCUAGACCUUUCAGAAAUUCUUCACCAUCAGAAAAAUGGAGGUGGCACGCCCUGCCGCAGCUGAUCAACUUCCCAGAUGUGCUGCGAGCCUGCAGUAAGAGAAUGGAUGUGAAAGUGCUUUGUAAACUGAAAAUUCCAAUGAGAAAAAUCCAUUAUCAUUAGGCUGGAGUCCAGUGGCACGAUCCUCAGUUCACUGCAACCUCUGCCUCCUGGGUUCAAGCAAUUCUCCUGCCUCAGCCUCCUGAGUAGCUGGGAUUACAGGCAUAUGCCACCACGCCCAGCUAAUUUUUGUAUUUUUAGUAGAGACAGGGUUUCACCAUGUUGGUCAGGCUGGUCUCGAACUCCUGACCUCAUGAUCUGCCUGCCUUGGCCUCCGAAAGUGCUGGGAUUACAGGCGUGAGCCACCACACCUGGCCUAGAUCUGGAUUUUGAAGAAGAAGAAGAAGAUAAUGAUGACGAUGAUGACAGCUAAUGCUUAGAUGGAGAAAGAGAUAGAAGUGGCCUGGCUUUGAAACAUGGUGCUAUCCCCUAGCAAGCAGAGGAGGAGCUUCCAGACAGAAAAUGGUACCUUUCCCCAGAGUCUAUGUUGAGGUGCACCAGCCUUUCCAGUCCUGAGAAAAGACAGAGUCAUGGCUCCAGGGCAGGUGGGCAUGCCUGUGUCCCAGGAGGCACUGUUCUUCCUGGCCAGAGACCCAUGCCCACUUCAGAGGAGCCAUGAAGGAGAAACACCAGGCCACAGUGGAGGACUGUGAUCAAGGAAAAAUUGAAGAACUGCUGCAGGAAAUUGGAGCUGCCAAUCUCCUAACAAUUGGAAUUUUUUUAUACUGUGCAUUUCACAAAUGUAUGUCCUCAAGGACAGAGAAGAUCCUGCCCUAAGGAGCAAGUGUGCGGAGGCCACCUGGCCUUCACUGGUUCCUGCACUGAAUGUUUCCUUCUCACCUGCUGAGUACCAGGUGUUACCCCAGAGAUGGCAGAAGGACUGAGGACCUGGGGAGGAGAGAGGAGGAAACUGGAGGACUGUGAACGUGGCCACGUCUUUUCCAAUGGAGAGAAAACUCAAUCGGAUCUGGGCACUCCCUACAUUUCUCCACCUCCUGCCGCCCCCGUGAGCCACUGCAGGGAGAUUUUUCUGAAUAAUGGAACAUUUUCCUGUUUUAAUCAGAUGCAAUUUUGCAAGCAGUUUUUAUGAUUUAGCAAGUCCAUUAAAACUGGCAUUUGUUCUGCUCUGACACUCGAAAGGGGCUCCACAGAGCAUAAACAUUGGAAAUUACUUGUAGGGAGAGACAAUAUUAAAAUUCCCCAGCCUGGGCCUGUUGUUUGAGAAAUUCUGUUAUCAAGCAUCAUGCCAGCUACGAUCAGAGGUGCUUGAGAUAUAUGCUGCUUCCUCUUUACGCACUAACUGGGGGCCUGGGAACUCAGGCAGCAAUAAAGUCGCAAUGCUGUUAUCUCUCAGCACUUUUGGCAUCAGGAGGUGAAUGGGUCUUAAGGAGAACUCACUGGAAGAGCAGGUCACGAAGUGCAAAAUCUCAAGGAAGAGGGUGGGUGAACACAUCUUUAAGGACAAGCCUGGAAAUUGCUUUCCUGCCCACAGUGAAUGAUAGAGUUUAUUGGCACAUAAUUAAGAAGGUCUGUUUUGUCAGUUUCACUUGUAGUCAAUUCUCAAUUAUCCAUAUACUAACAGAUGACCAGGGUCAAGUGAAAAUUCUCCUUUUGCCCUCCUUCUGCUUCCCUGCAGGGAUUCCCUCUCCACAGAACCAAAGUAGAGUAUCAGCAAGAGAGGCUUUGGGGAGCAUCUCCUCUCCCAGUCAAUGCAGAAGCCAUAGAAGAAAUCACAAAAGAUAGAACCUGGCAGUUCAACUACAUAAAAUUAACAAUGCGUGG
Molecule: long non-coding RNA, 6707 nt
Filed under: Homo sapiens (human)
Lineage: Eukaryota; Metazoa; Chordata; Mammalia; Primates; Hominidae
Description: non-protein coding lnc-OAF-4:3
Source: RNAcentral